CCCUUCCCAACAACAACACCAAGUUCUCUCUCUCUCUCUCUCUCUCUCUCCUCCUCCCUCUGUCUCUCGCUGGUAAUCAUUUCAGCUAUCAUCGCUCACCACCCUCGCUCAGCGAGACUUGAGGGGAAGAAAGAACAAGAAGCAGGAAGCUUUUCCUUUGCGGGGAAUGUUGUCUGGGUCGAGGAAUCUACCAAACUAGAGAGAUAGAUGGAUAGAUCUGCUAUCUUCUUUUCCCUUCUUUUACGUUUGGUGAUCUCGGACCAGGCUUCAUUCCCCCCAAUCAUAGCUUCCGUCUUCGGCAAUCAUGAGUUUUCCGAGAUCCAUGCACAGGUUAGAGAGGAGAAGCAGAUUGGUGUAAUGAUGAUGCUUCUGUCUUUCUUUUGCCGUUCUUCUGAACUGACAGGACCACCAAAAGGGUUUCAUCAUUAUCUUAUCAUUACCACCGCAAGCCAUCUCUCCCUUCCUCUUUUCUUCCCCGGAUCUACCACCACACCUCAACAUAGAUGACCCUAAUCCUCGAUGAUCUCGUCAAAGAUCGUCUUGUAAGCUCUCGUAGAUCUUCUCCAAAGAUCGACAGUGAUCUAUCUGUAUGUUCACUACCACAUGUAGGUUUGUCGAUCACAUAACCUCUUGUGGCCUCCUCACAUCAUCAACCUUCUUCCCACAUCUCUCUCAUCCACUUCUUUUCCGGCUCAUUUUCAUCUUUCUCAUGCCUAAAGAAAUGAUAUAUCAUACAUAUAUCUCGUUCUCUCUAACCCCCUGAAAACCUGCAGAUCCAUAUGUCCGUUCUUAUAUAUAGAUUCUGUGCCUCAUUUCUGAUUCUCGAGUCACGUUUCAGAUGGGUCUGUAUUGAUCGAAAACUAGGAGAUGUUACCCUACUGCUCCA
Long non-coding RNA from Musa acuminata subsp. malaccensis (wild Malaysian banana), 886 nucleotides. RefSeq lists it as uncharacterized. Lineage: Eukaryota; Viridiplantae; Streptophyta; Magnoliopsida; Zingiberales; Musaceae. The record is from RefSeq and is a predicted model, not a curated record.